GACGAACGCUGGCGGCGUGCCUAACACAUGCAAGUCGAGCGAAUGAAGUUCCUUCGGGAAUGGAUUUAGCGGCGGACGGGUGAGUAACACGUGGGCAACCUGCCUCAUAGAGGGGAAUAGCCUUCCGAAAGGGAGAUUAAUACCGCAUAAGAUUGUAGUAUCGCAUGAUACAGCAAUUAAAGGAGCAAUCCGCUAUGAGAUGGGCCCGCGGCGCAUUAGCUAGUUGGUGAGGUAACGGCUCACCAAGGCGACGACGCGUAGCCGACCGGAGAGGGUGAUCGGCCACAUUGGGACUGGGCCACGGCCCAGACUCCUACGGGAGGCAGCAGUGGGGAAUAUUGCACAAUGGGGGAAACCCUGAUGUAGCAACGCCGCGUGAGUGAUGACGGCCUUCGGGUUGUAAAGCUCUGUCUUCAGGGACGAUAAUGACGGUACCUGAGGAGGAAGCCACGGCUAACUACGUG
RNAcentral lists this ribosomal RNA (464 nucleotides) under uncultured bacterium. Its description in RNAcentral is "partial 16S ribosomal RNA". It matches the Rfam family "Bacterial small subunit ribosomal RNA", at positions 28 to 507 of the family's 1533-position model. The record is from RNAcentral.